This 1789-nucleotide ribosomal RNA is filed under the name Salmonella enterica subsp. enterica serovar 4,[5],12:i:-. Its description in RNAcentral is "bacterial LSU rRNA". It matches the Rfam family "Bacterial large subunit ribosomal RNA", at positions 1183 to 2925 of the family's 2925-position model. Lineage: Bacteria; Pseudomonadati; Pseudomonadota; Gammaproteobacteria; Enterobacterales; Enterobacteriaceae. The record is from RNAcentral.
CGAUUGACGGAGCGAAGCGACGUCAAAGCGUUCAUUAAAGUCGAGUUGGCUUAGGGAUACGUUCGUUGGGUAGGGGAGCGUUCUGUAAGCCUGUGAAGGUGUGUCGUGAGGCAUGCUGGAGGUAUCAGAAGUGCGAAUGCUGACAUAAGUAACGAUAAAGCGGGUGAAAAGCCCGCUCGCCGGAAGACCAAGGGUUCCUGUCCAACGUUAAUCGGGGCAGGGUGAGUCGACCCCUAAGGCGAGGCCGAAAGGCGUAGUCGAUGGGAAACGGGUUAAUAUUCCCGUACUUGGUGUUACUGCGAAGGGGGGACGGAGAAGGCUAUGUUGGCCGGGCGACGGUUGUCCCGGUUUAAGCGUGUAGGUGUGUGUUCCAGGUAAAUCCGGUUCACUUUAACACUGAGGCGUGACGACGAGGCACUACGGUGCUGAAGCAACAAAUGCCCUGCUUCCAGGAAAAGCCUCUAAGCAUCAGGUAACAUCAAAUCGUACCCCAAACCGACACAGGUGGUCAGGUAGAGAAUACCAAGGCGCUUGAGAGAACUCGGGUGAAGGAACUAGGCAAAAUGGUGCCGUAACUUCGGGAGAAGGCACGCUGACACGUAGGUGAAGUGAUUUACUCAUGGAGCUGAAGUCAGUCGAAGAUACCAGCUGGCUGCAACUGUUUAUUAAAAACACAGCACUGUGCAAACACGAAAGUGGACGUAUACGGUGUGACGCCUGCCCGGUGCCGGAAGGUUAAUUGAUGGGGUCAGCGCAAGCGAAGCUCCUGAUCGAAGCCCCGGUAAACGGCGGCCGUAACUAUAACGGUCCUAAGGUAGCGAAAUUCCUUGUCGGGUAAGUUCCGACCUGCACGAAUGGCGUAAUGAUGGCCAGGCUGUCUCCACCCGAGACUCAGUGAAAUUGAACUCGCUGUGAAGAUGCAGUGUACCCGCGGCAAGACGGAAAGACCCCGUGAACCUUUACUAUAGCUUGACACUGAACAUUGAGCCUUGAUGUGUAGGAUAGGUGGGAGGCUUUGAAGUGUGGACGCCAGUCUGCAUGGAGCCGACCUUGAAAUACCACCCUUUAAUGUUUGAUGUUCUAACGUGGACCCGUAAUCCGGGUUGCGGACAGUGUCUGGUGGGUAGUUUGACUGGGGCGGUCUCCUCCUAAAGAGUAACGGAGGAGCACGAAGGUUGGCUAAUCCUGGUCGGACAUCAGGAGGUUAGUGCAAUGGCAUAAGCCAGCUUGACUGCGAGCGUGACGGCGCGAGCAGGUGCGAAAGCAGGUCAUAGUGAUCCGGUGGUUCUGAAUGGAAGGGCCAUCGCUCAACGGAUAAAAGGUACUCCGGGGAUAACAGGCUGAUACCGCCCAAGAGUUCAUAUCGACGGCGGUGUUUGGCACCUCGAUGUCGGCUCAUCACAUCCUGGGGCUGAAGUAGGUCCCAAGGGUAUGGCUGUUCGCCAUUUAAAGUGGUACGCGAGCUGGGUUUAGAACGUCGUGAGACAGUUCGGUCCCUAUCUGCCGUGGGCGCUGGAGAACUGAGGGGGGCUGCUCCUAGUACGAGAGGACCGGAGUGGACGCAUCACUGGUGUUCGGGUUGUCAUGCCAAUGGCACUGCCCGGUAGCUAAAUGCGGAAGAGAUAAGUGCUGAAAGCAUCUAAGCACGAAACUUGCCCCGAGAUGAGUUCUCCCUGAGACUUAGAGUCUCCUGAAGGAACGUUGAAGACGACGACGUUGAUAGGCCGGGUGUGUAAGCGCAGCGAUGCGUUGAGCUAACCGGUACUAAUGAACCGUGAGGCUUAACCUU